AUGGCACCCAAGAAGGGCCAAGAUAAGCUGGAGAAGGUAGUCAACCCAGAAGCAGAGGCAAGGAAGGAGGAGAUGGCGGCACUGCGGAGGGAUAAUAUCGUCUUUGCGCCGGCCUUGAAUCACAUCGACAUGGUGGAGCAGUACGCAUACAUGUGGGGGAAGGAGACGACGGCUACACUGCGCCCCACGUUCUUCCCGGCACCACCAAAUCUGGCAAAGAUAAAUAUCCCUUUAUCACCGCAUAUUUCUAUUGCGGGCUUGUUCCUCCCUUCUCUGAUUUCUUUUCAGAGAUCAUGUAUACAUAUGGGUUCCGCCACUUAG
RNAcentral lists this ribosomal RNA (321 nucleotides) under Triticum aestivum (bread wheat). RNAcentral's name for it is "partial small subunit ribosomal RNA". The record is from RNAcentral. Lineage: Eukaryota; Viridiplantae; Streptophyta; Magnoliopsida; Poales; Poaceae.